Molecule: ribosomal RNA, 620 nt
Filed under: uncultured bacterium
Lineage: Bacteria
Description: bacterial SSU rRNA
Rfam family: Bacterial small subunit ribosomal RNA
Source: RNAcentral
AGAGUUUGAUCCUGGCUCAGGAUGAACGCUAGCGGCAGGCCUAAUACAUGCAAGUCGAACGGUGUAGCAAUACAUAGUGGCGCACGGGUGCGUAACACGUAUGCAACCUACCUUAUACUGAGGGAUAGCCUUUGGAAACGGAGAUUAAUACCUCAUGGGACAUUGACUUGGCAUCGGGUUAAUGUUAAAGAUUUAUUGGUAUAAGAUGGGCAUGCGUCCAAUUAGUUAGUUGGUGAGGUAACGGCUCACCAAGACGAUGAUUGGUAGGGGAACUGAGAGGUUAAUCCCCCACACUGGCACUGAGAUACGGGCCAGACUCCUACGGGAGGCAGCAGUAGGGAAUAUUGGGCAAUGGAGGCAACUCUGACCCAGCCAUGCCGCGUGCAGGAUGAAGGCGUUAUGCGUUGUAAACUGCUUUUAUAUAGGAAGAAAUAGACCUUGCGAGGUAAGUUGACGGUACUAUAUGAAUAAGCACCGGCUAACUCCGUGCCAGCAGCCGCGGUAAUACGGAGGGUGCAAGCGUUGUCCGGAUUUAUUGGGUUUAAAGGGUGCGUAGGCAGUUUAUUAAGUCAGUGGUGAAAGACGGUCGCUCAACGAUUGCAGUGCCAUUGAUACUGGUA